AAGUCGUAACAAGGUAACCGUAGGUGAACCUGCGGUUGGAUCAUUAUAAAAUGAUAGUUGUUGGUUAGAGGGGCAAAACAUUUAAUGCUUAGCCACCUUUCCAACGACUAAACACCUUUGUGCACCAUAAUUGUAUUUGGGUUGGUCUUUAGUACCAACCCGCCUAUUAACUUCUAUUAUUUUGACUGAAUUUUGUUUCUAUGAAUCAAAAACAACUUUUAACAACGGAUCUCUUGGUUCUG
Molecule: unclassified non-coding RNA, 242 nt
Filed under: fungal sp.
Lineage: Eukaryota; Fungi
Description: partial internal transcribed spacer region
Rfam family: Eukaryotic small subunit ribosomal RNA (bases 1-46)
Source: RNAcentral